This 202-nucleotide non-coding RNA is filed under the name Rodentibacter heidelbergensis. Its description in RNAcentral is "6S RNA". It matches the Rfam family "6S / SsrS RNA". From Rfam's summary of the family: E. coli 6S RNA was the first non coding RNA to be sequenced, but its function was unknown until recently. It consists of 184 nucleotides that fold into an extended hairpin structure with a large single-stranded internal bulge. Lineage: Bacteria; Pseudomonadati; Pseudomonadota; Gammaproteobacteria; Pasteurellales; Pasteurellaceae. The record is from RNAcentral.
GAUUUCCUGGAGUGUUCGUCAGUGGGUUAUGUCCCUGAGCCGAUACUUAAAAUCUUAUAAAUCGGUUUCCCGUCAUUGGUGUGUAGGCUUGGCCUUUAUUAUUCAAUAAUAAAGGAACUAAGAAACCUAAAAAUGACCUUAUCGAUUUCCUUGAACCGUCGGGUUCAAGGACUGCCACCCGCAACGGCACUCUGGGUCCUUU